CCUACGGGUGGCAGCAGUGGGGAAUAUUGGACAAUGGGCGAAAGCCUGAUCCAGCCAUGCCGCGUGUGUGAAGAAGGCCUUCGGGUUGUAAAGCACUUUCAGUGGGGAAGAUAGCCUUGGGGCUAAUACCCUCGAGGAAGGACAUCACCCACAGAAGAAGCACCGGCUAACUCCGUGCCAGCAGCCGCGGUAAUACGGAGGGUGCGAGCGUUAAUCGGAAUUACUGGGCGUAAAGCGCGCGUAGGCGGUCUGAUAAGCCGGUUGUGAAAGCCCCGGGCUCAACCUGGGAACGGCAUCCGGAACUGUCAGGCUAGAGUGCAGGAGAGGAAGGUAGAAUUCCCGGUGUAGCGGUGAAAUGCGUAGAGAUCGGGAGGAAUACCAGUGGCGAAGGCGGCCUUCUGGACUGACACUGACGCUGAGGUGCGAAAGCGUGGGUAGCAAACAGGAUUAGAUACCCCAGUAGUC
RNAcentral lists this ribosomal RNA (465 nucleotides) under Vreelandella stevensii. RNAcentral describes it as "partial 16S ribosomal RNA". It matches the Rfam family "Bacterial small subunit ribosomal RNA", at positions 338 to 795 of the family's 1533-position model. The record is from RNAcentral. Lineage: Bacteria; Pseudomonadati; Pseudomonadota; Gammaproteobacteria; Oceanospirillales; Halomonadaceae.